GGCUGGUCUGAAGGUAGCAGGUUAUCUCAAUUGAUUGUUCAUAGUCAGUUAUAGAGCAAACUGCUUGCUCUACUCUUUCACCCCUUCUCACUACUGCACUUGACUAGUUGAUA
Unclassified non-coding RNA from Cercocebus atys (sooty mangabey), 113 nucleotides. It matches the Rfam family "Y RNA". From Rfam's summary of the family: Y RNAs are components of the Ro ribonucleoprotein particle (Ro RNP), in association with Ro60 and La proteins. The Y RNAs and Ro60 and La proteins are well conserved, but the function of the Ro RNP is not known. NCBI's taxonomy places the organism in Eukaryota, Metazoa, Chordata, Mammalia, Primates, Cercopithecidae. The record is from Ensembl.